UACGUAGGGGGCAAGCGUUGUCCGGAAUCAUUGGGCGUAAAGCGCGUGUAGGCGGCCCGAUAAGUCCGCUGUAAAAGUCCAGGGCUCAACCCUGGAAAGCCGGUGGAUACUGUCGGGCUCGAGUCCGGAAGAGGCGAGUGGAAUUCCUGGUGUAGCGGUGAAAUGCGCAGAUAUCAGGAGGAACACCAAUGGCGAAGGCAGCUCGCUGGGACGUGACUGACGCUGAGACGCGAAAGCGUGGGGAGCAAACAGG
Molecule: ribosomal RNA, 253 nt
Filed under: uncultured bacterium
Lineage: Bacteria
Description: partial 16S ribosomal RNA
Rfam family: Bacterial small subunit ribosomal RNA
Source: RNAcentral